This 498-nucleotide ribosomal RNA is filed under the name uncultured bacterium. Its description in RNAcentral is "bacterial SSU rRNA". It matches the Rfam family "Bacterial small subunit ribosomal RNA", at positions 28 to 526 of the family's 1533-position model. The record is from RNAcentral.
GAUGAACGCUAGCGGGAGGCCUAACACAUGCAAGCCGAGCGGUAGAGAUCUUUCGGGAUCUUGAGAGCGGCGUACGGGUGCGGAACACGUGUGCAACCUGCCUUUAUCUGGGGGAUAGCCUUUCGAAAGGAAGAUUAAUACCCCAUAAUAUACUGAAUGGCAUCAUUCGGUAUUGAAAACUCCGGUGGAUAGAGAUGGGCACGCGCAAGAUUAGAUAGUUGGUGAGGUAACGGCUCACCAAGUCUGCGAUCUUUAGGGGGCCUGAGAGGGUGAUCCCCCACACUGGUACUGAGACACGGACCAGACUCCUACGGGAGGCAGCAGUGAGGAAUAUUGGACAAUGGGUGAGAGCCUGAUCCAGCCAUCCCGCGUGAAGGACGACGGCCCUAUGGGUUGUAAACUUCUUUUGCAUAGGGAUAAACCUACCCUCGUGAGGGUAGCUGAAGGUACUAUACGAAUAAGCACCGGCUAACUCCGUGCCAGCCGCCGCAGUAAGAC